Molecule: ribosomal RNA, 1981 nt
Filed under: Bradycellus sharpi
Lineage: Eukaryota; Metazoa; Arthropoda; Insecta; Coleoptera; Carabidae
Description: SSU rRNA
Rfam family: Eukaryotic small subunit ribosomal RNA
Source: RNAcentral
UGACAACCUGGUUGAUCCUGCCAGUAGUCAUAUGCUUGUCUCAAAGAUUAAGCCAUGCAUGUCUAAGUACAAACUAUAUUAAAGUGAAACCGCGAAAGGCUCAUUAAAUCAGUUAUGGUUCCUUAGAUCGUACCACAAUUACUUGGAUAACUGUGGUAAUUCUAGAGCUAAUACAUGCAAACAGAGCUCUGACCGGAGACGGAAGGAGUGCUUUUAUUAGAUCAAAACCAAUCGGCGUCAAUAGCAUUUCGGUGUUGUUGUUCGUCGCUCAAUUAAUGGUGAAUCUGAAUAACUUUAUGCUGAUCGCAUGGUCUUGUACCGGCGACGCAUCUUUCAAAUGUCUGCCUUAUCAACUGUCGAUGGUAGGAUCUGCGCCUACCAUGGUUGUAACGGGUAACGGGGAAUCAGGGUUCGAUUCCGGAGAGGGAGCCUGAGAAACGGCUACCACAUCCAAGGAAGGCAGCAGGCGCGCAAAUUACCCACUCCCGGCACGGGGAGGUAGUGACGAAAAAUAACGAUACGGGACUCAUCCGAGGCCCCGUAAUCGGAAUGAGUACACUUUAAAUCCUUUAACAAGGACCAAUUGGAGGGCAAGUCUGGUGCCAGCAGCCGCGGUAAUUCCAGCUCCAAUAGCGUAUAUUAAAGUUGUUGCGGUUAAAAAGCUCGUAGUUGAAUUUGUGUUCCGCACUGUCGGUUCACCGCCCGCGGUGCUAACUGGCAUGUUUGCGGAACGUCCUGCCGGUGGAUGUUUAAAGUAAUUGAUUUCGGUCAUUUACUACAUCCGACUUAUAAAUCCUGUCGCGGUGCUCUUAACUGAGUGUCGAGGCGGGCCGGCACGUUUACUUUGAACAAAUUAGAGUGCUCAAAGCAGGCUAACUAAUGCCUGAAUAAUUAGUGCAUGGAAUAAUGGAACAGGACCUUGGUUCUAUUUUGUUGGUUUUCGGAACCCCAAGGUAAUGAUUAAUAGGGACAGAUGGGGGCAUUCGUAUUGCGACGUUAGAGGUGAAAUUCUUGGAUCGUCGCAAGACGGACUAAAGCGAAAGCAUUUGCCAAAGAUGUUUUCAUUAAUCAAGAACGAAAGUCAGAGGUUCGAAGGCGAUCAGAUACCGCCCUAGUUCUGACCAUAAACGAUGCCAGCUAGCGAUCCGCCAAAGUUCCUCCGAUGACUUGGCGGGCAGCUUUCGGGAAACCAAAGUUUUUGGGUUCCGGGGGAAGUAUGGUUGCAAAGCUGAAACUUAAAGGAAUUGACGGAAGGGCACCACCAGGAGUGGAGCCUGCGGCUUAAUUUGACUCAACACGGGGAAACUCACCAGGCCCAGACACUGGAAGGAUUGACAGAUUGAGAGCUCUUUCUUGAUUCAGUGGGUGGUGGUGCAUGGCCGUUCUUAGUUGGUGAAUUGGUUUGUCUGCUUAAUUGCGAUAACGAACGAGACUCUAGCCUACUAAAUAGACGUUACACACUUUCCAGUAUCUCGAAGGCUCACAUCUUUCGUAUCUUAACUGCACAUCGCCUUGCAUUUCGGUGUUUGGUUGUUGUGUGGUGGUCGGAAGUUUGUGGUUUUUACUACUGGCGUACAUAUAAAUCUUCUUAGAGGGACAGGCGGCUUCUAGCCGCACGAGAUUGAGCAAUAACAGGUCUGUGAUGCCCUUAGAUGUUCUGGGCCGCACGCGCGCUACACUGAAGGAAUCAGCGUGUCUUCCCUGGCCGAAAGGUCCGGGUAACCCGCUGAACCUCCUUCGUGCUAGGGAUUGGGGCUUGCAAUUAUUCCCCAUGAACGAGGAAUUCCCAGUAAGCGUGAAUCAUAAGUUCACGUUGAUUACGUCCCUGCCCUUUGUACACACCGCCCGUCGCUACUACCGAUUGAAUGAUUUAGUGAGGUCUUCGGACUGGUACGCGGUAUGUUUCGACAUUACCGAUGUCGCUGGGAAGAUGACCAAACUUGAUUAUUUAGAGGAAGUAAAAGUCGUAACAAGGUUUCCG